CUCCAUUUGAAUGGAAUCGAAAAAGUAUAAAUUUGACAAAAAGUGAAACUAACAUUUCUCCGCUUCCAUUCCAAAAAUACUUUUCCAUUUGGCAAGAAUUUGUGGUUGCCACUGCCACAGACGACACGUUCCUGCAAUUUCCACCACCCACAGAGAUGAAAUAUUUCCAAUAUUGAUCUACAGAAACAGACGCAACAAACAGAAAUACAAACGAAUAAAAUGAGACAAA
Molecule: long non-coding RNA, 229 nt
Filed under: Drosophila guanche
Lineage: Eukaryota; Metazoa; Arthropoda; Insecta; Diptera; Drosophilidae
Source: RNAcentral